CCGCGAUUCGCCCUUCGGGGUGCCCAGGCGCGAAUACUUUACACUGCGGGAAACCGCGAUAAGGGGACCCCGAGUGCCAGCACCUAGUGCUGGCUGUCCAGCUGUCCAAAUAACAGUUGUUAGCAAGGGCCGGGCAAGACCGGUGCCAGCCGCCGCGGUAACACCGGCGGCCCGAGUGGUAGCCGUUAUUAUUGGGUUUAAAGGGUCCGUAGCCGGCCUAUUAAGUCUCUUGGGAAAUCUGGCGACUCAAUCGUCAGUCGUCCAAGAGAUACUGGUAGGCUUGGGACCGGGAGAGGUGGGAGGUACUCCAGGGGUAGGGGUGAAAUCUCGUAAUCCUUGGGGGACCACCGAUGAGAAAGGCAUCCCACCAGAACGGGUCCUACGGUCCAGGGACGAAGGCUGGGGGCACGAACCGCGAUUAGAUACCCGGGUAGUCCCAGCCGUAAACGAUGCUCUCUAGGUGUCAGGUGCGGUGCGACCGCAUCUGGUGCCCCAGUGAAAACUUGAACCUAGUCACCUGCCGAAUUACAGUUUCAAGGUUGAAACAUUUUUGAAUUGUGCGGGGAAGCAC
This 571-nucleotide ribosomal RNA is filed under the name uncultured archaeon. RNAcentral describes it as "bacterial SSU rRNA". It matches the Rfam family "Archaeal small subunit ribosomal RNA", at positions 311 to 879 of the family's 1478-position model. The record is from RNAcentral.